This 338-nucleotide ribosomal RNA is filed under the name uncultured bacterium. RNAcentral describes it as "partial 16S ribosomal RNA". It matches the Rfam family "Bacterial small subunit ribosomal RNA", at positions 338 to 668 of the family's 1533-position model. The record is from RNAcentral.
CCUACGGGGGGCAGCAGUAGGGAAUCUUCCACAAUGGGCGAAAGCCUGAUGGAGCAACGCCGCGUGGGUGAAGAAGGCCUUCGGAUCGUAAAACUCUGUUGUUAGAGAAGAAAGCGCGUGAGAGUAACUGUUCAUGUUUCGACGGUAUCUAACCAGAAAGCCACGGCUAACUACGUGCCAGCAGCCGCGGUAAUACGUAGGUGGCAAGCGUUAUCCGGUUUUAUUGGGCGUAAAGGGAACGCAGGCGGUCUUAUAAGUCUGAUGUGAAAGCCUUCGGCUUAACCGGUGUAGUGCAUUGGAAACUGGGAGGCUAGAGUGCAGAAGAGGAGGGUGGAACG